Molecule: non-coding RNA, 1642 nt
Organism: Lolium perenne
Lineage: Eukaryota; Viridiplantae; Streptophyta; Magnoliopsida; Poales; Poaceae
Source: RefSeq, a predicted model, not a curated record
UCUCUUGCCUAAGCUGAAAACCUAGACACCACGAUUGGCUCCGCUUCCUCCUGUCUUCCCCAAUCCGCCGCAUUCUCUCCUCCUCCCAUUUUGCCCAACUCAGGUCGCCCAGGAGGUCGGAGCACAGUGGACCGCGCAUCGACCUCGCCGCUCCUCUUCCGAGCGUUGGAGAAGCAGCGACGCCGCACUCCUCUCGGAGGUGGCUAGAUGCAGGAGCCGCCGGCGGCAGGGAGGACGCCGCGGUUGGAAGCGGCGGCGGCCUGCAGCGCGCGCCGAGCGAUGGGACGCCUAGACGCGCCAGCGGCGAUGGAAGGCAGCGCUGAGCGACGGGGGCGGUUGGACGCGGCAGCAGUGGAGGCAUGGAGCGUGCCCGAGCGAGGAGUGGUCGUCGACGGCUGGUGCCCUGUGUACCCAUCGAUCUGAAGUAGUCUCCAUCCACAUGCUUCCAGGACUGCCUGCAGUACCUCUCAUCUUCCUUCCGAUCAAAAUUGUGCCAAUAGUGAGGGACUGCUCCUGGAAGGAAAACAGGACAGGAGUGGCAUGGGGCAUGGACGUCGCGUGGACAUCAUAGUGCCGUCCACAUGCGCACCACCAUGAGGUCCAUCUCUUGAUGCUGCUUUGGCGAGUCUCGUUAAUUCCGUGCUCGGUGCUGUUUCCUCUAAAAAAUGAUAAGGUAGUGUCGAUCCCGGUUCUGGGGAAUUGAUUUGGGCAACUUUUGAAGUUUGGUUCUAAAGAUAUUUUUGUGCAAGUGGCCAAUUGAUGUUACGCUUAUUUGAAAGCCAAGCCUGGUAUGUCUCGGCUCUUGUUUUCUAUUAUGCAUUUCUUCAGAAAAAUAUAUUACUCUCUGGGCUUGAUGAUUUGGGUAACAAGUGUUUAAUCUUCUAGAAUUUGGUACACAUUAAAUUUUAGUGUGUUCUCGAGUAGGCGAGUAGCUGCUUGUCUGUUAUUUACUUCUUAUUUUAGUUUAAAGUUUUUUAUGCUUCAUUUUCCUCGGUGAUGUGUAAGAAGUUUAAUUUAUGCUAGAAGCUGUAUAUGAGUCCCUGCACAUCCAUUCUAAUUAAGAAAAGAAUAUUUACACUCCACUAUGUAUGCAUGAACUACUAUUAGAGAGCUCUUAUUGCCAAACAGGUCCAGCAAUGUAUACCAAGUGCACACCACUUGGUAUGCCAGCUAAUUUGUUGCUUUUAGGAUGUAACAUGUGCUGUAGGUGGCUUAAUACAGAUACAAAUAAUAUGUUCUUUUUUACUCAUGAACAACAAGUACUCAGUUUUUCAGUGUACCUGCAACCCAGUUCGGCAGCAACAAGAGCACAUGGUAUUUUCUCUGUCAGUAUAUCACAAUUUAAUUAUGUUUAUAGGUGUGCCUGCACUGCAAUAAUCAGAGCCGGAAUCAGUUAGGUGGUGUCAGUUCUUGAUUGUGUAUGACUGAUUAUGCCAAGGUCUUUAAUCUACCUUUUGUUCGCUCGAUAGAGGUUUCCUAGGAUACUCAAUCUCUGCAUGUCUUACACAUGUCGGCCAACUUUGUGUUCGCCGAUGACCGUUACCUCCGCGACAUUAGCUAAUUUUUCCAGCGCACAGAUUUUAGUAGACAAAAUGAAUGUUGGUAUGAACGAUUUUUCAGACCAGAAAACACCUAAGAGCCC